RNAcentral lists this ribosomal RNA (475 nucleotides) under uncultured bacterium. RNAcentral's name for it is "bacterial SSU rRNA". It matches the Rfam family "Bacterial small subunit ribosomal RNA", at positions 28 to 514 of the family's 1533-position model. The record is from RNAcentral.
GAUGAACGCUAGCGGCAGGCUUAAUACAUGCAAGUCAAGGGGGUAGCAAUACAACCGGCGCACGGGUGAGUAACGCGUACACAACAUACCAUAUACUGGAGUAUAGCUUUGGGAAACUGAAGGUAAUCCUCCAUAACAUUGCGAGAGGGCAUCUGAUUGCAAUUAAAGUUUCGGCGGUAUAUGAUUGGUGUGCGUUUGAUUAGCUAGUUGGUAGGGUAACGGCCUACCAAGGCGACGAUCAAUAGCUGGCGUGAGAGCGCGACCAGCCACACUGGAACUGAGACACGGUCCAGACUCCUACGGGAGGCAGCAGUAGGGAAUAAUGGACCAUGGAGGAAACUCUGAUCCAGCCAUGCCGCGUGAUAGAUGAAGGCCCUCUGGGUUGUAAAUAUCUUUUAUCUGGGAAGAAACACUCCUAUUCUUAGGAACUUGACGGUACCAGAGGAAUAAGCACCGGCUAACUCCGUGCCAGCAG